Thunnus maccoyii (southern bluefin tuna) is the source of this 942-nucleotide long non-coding RNA. RefSeq lists it as uncharacterized. The record is from RefSeq and is a predicted model, not a curated record. The transcript has 3 exons. Lineage: Eukaryota; Metazoa; Chordata; Actinopteri; Scombriformes; Scombridae.
AUGAACAUUUUCAACUUUAACCGCCUGGUCUCUUCCUUUCGUCCUUUCUCUCCUCCACUUCCUGCCAGAAGAGAAGAGAAGAUCUCAAAGACACGUCUCGGUAAUGAGCGCGUCCCGAGGGGAGGAGCGGACACGCUGUUAUGUUUCUGAAUAGAUGCUUAAUGCACUUUCAUCUUAACAAGGCGCCAUAACGGAUGAGGCUGCGACCUAAAACGGACAGCUGAACAUGUGGCUCUUUAAUUCCUGUCACCUUCCCGUUUCUCUGGCCGGGUUCUCCAGCGUCGCCUCUUUCUCCUUCAGAUUAUUCAGAAGGAGUCCGGAGAAACCGGGAGCUCAACUUGUCAUCUGCAUGAAUGCACAGAUCCCACCUUAAAUUCUGUGGCCUGGGGAAAUUUACAUGAAGACUUUGUCCAAUUAUUCUCUCCCUGGCAAUAUGAACAGUGUGAGCGUCACGCAUGGUCGGCCCGCUGGUGUCAGAGCGCACCUUCUUUCUCCCUGUCGAUUUACAGAGCUGCUCUACAGGCCAAACAGGUAUUCAGCCUCCAACGACGACCGCGACGGCGCUGUCACACAGCAGAAUGUGAUAUUUGGUCUGGAAACACUUCACCUCCUGAAAUCAACAGGAUUAAACACCAUAUUGUUUUACACCAUAUGGCCAAAAGCUUCCCAGCUGAUGUUUUCACCCGGCUGCAGGGAUUCGGCUCGCAGUCGGUGUUCCAGUUCAUCCCAAAGGUGUCGGAUGAGGUCAAGUUCUUCCUCACCAAAUUGGGAAAACCAUUUCUUUAUGGAUCUAACAAACAGCCAAAGACGUCAGUAGCCCAGUUUUUCAAAGCCUUGCUAACUCGUCUUCUUCUAUUGUAGAAGGUUCUUGAAAAAUGAGUAAAACUUUCUACAGAAAACACUGAAACGCAAUUAAGUUUGUUAAUAAAACUGUUUUCUUUA